AUUCUUAUAGUUUAAAACAAAACAUAAUUUUUUCAAAAUUAAAAAAAAUAAAUAUAUUUUAAGAAUA
RNAcentral lists this transfer RNA (67 nucleotides) under Nymphon gracile. RNAcentral's name for it is "tRNA-Glu". The record is from RNAcentral. Lineage: Eukaryota; Metazoa; Arthropoda; Pycnogonida; Pantopoda; Nymphonidae.